This 497-nucleotide ribosomal RNA is filed under the name uncultured bacterium. RNAcentral's name for it is "partial 16S ribosomal RNA". It matches the Rfam family "Bacterial small subunit ribosomal RNA", at positions 28 to 507 of the family's 1533-position model. The record is from RNAcentral.
GAUGAACGCUGGCGGCGUGCCUAAUACAUGCAAGUCGAGCGAACAGACGAGGAGCUUGCUCCUCUGACGUUAGCGGCGGGCAGGUGAGUAACACGUGGAUAACCUACCUAUAAGACUGGGAUAACUUCGGGAAACCGGAGCUAAUACCGGAUAAUAUAUUGAACCGCAUGGUUCAAUAGUGAAAGACGGUUUUGCUGUCACUUAUAGAUGGAUCCGCGCCGCAUUAGCUAGUUGGUAAGGUAACGGCUUACCAAGGCAACGAUGCGUAGCCGACCUGAGAGGGUGAUCGGCCACACUGGAACUGAGACACGGUCCAGACUCCUACGGGAGGCAGCAGUAGGGAAUCUUCCGCAAUGGGCGAAAGCCUGACGGAGCAACGCCGCGUGAGUGAUGAAGGUCUUCGGAUCGUAAAACUCUGUUAUUAGGGAAGAACAAAUGUGUAAGUAACUAUGCACGUCUUGACGGUACCUAAUCAGAAAGCCACGGCUAACUACGUG